UACAGAGGGUGCUAGCGUUGUUCGGAAUCAUUGGGCGUAAAGGGCGUGUAGGCGGUUUGUUAAGUCAUGUGUGAAAUCCCUCGGCUCAACCGGGGAACGACGCAUGAAACUGGCAAGCUAGAGUACCAAAGAGGGGGGUGGAAUUCCCGGUGUAGCGGUGAAGUGCGUAGAUAUCAGGAGGAACACCGGUGGCGAAGGCGGUUCUCUGGGCCUUACCUGACGCUGAGGAGCGAAAGCGUGGGGAGCAAACAGG
Molecule: ribosomal RNA, 253 nt
Filed under: uncultured bacterium
Lineage: Bacteria
Description: partial 16S ribosomal RNA
Rfam family: Bacterial small subunit ribosomal RNA
Source: RNAcentral